UACGGAUGGGGCUAGCGUUGUUCGGAAUUACUGGGCGUAAAGCGCACGUAGGCGGCUUUGUAAGUUAGAGGUGAAAGCCCGGAGCUCAACUUCGGAAUUGCCUUUAAGACUGCGUCGCUCGAAUCCGGGAGAGGCGGGUGGAAUUCCGAGUGUAGAGGUGAAAUUCGUAGAUAUUCGGAAGAACACCAGUGGCGAAGGCGGCCCGCUGGACCGGCAUUGACGCUGAGGUGCGAAAGCGUGGGGAGCAAACAGG
RNAcentral lists this ribosomal RNA (253 nucleotides) under uncultured bacterium. RNAcentral's name for it is "partial 16S ribosomal RNA". It matches the Rfam family "Bacterial small subunit ribosomal RNA", at positions 524 to 776 of the family's 1533-position model. The record is from RNAcentral.